This 329-nucleotide ribosomal RNA is filed under the name uncultured Limnohabitans sp. Its description in RNAcentral is "bacterial SSU rRNA". It matches the Rfam family "Bacterial small subunit ribosomal RNA", at positions 1 to 335 of the family's 1533-position model. The record is from RNAcentral. Lineage: Bacteria; Pseudomonadati; Pseudomonadota; Betaproteobacteria; Burkholderiales; Comamonadaceae.
CAUGGUAGUUUGACUCCGUGGCUCAGAUUGAACGCUGGCGGAAUGCUUUACACAUGCAAGUCGAACGGUAGAGGGGGCAACCCCUUGAGAGUGGUGAACGGGUGAGUAAUAUAUCGGAACGUGCCCAGUCGUGGGGGAUAACGUAGUGAAAAUUACGCUAAUACCGCAUACGAUCUAUGGAUGAAAGCGGGGGAUCGCAAGACCUCGCGCGAUUGGAGCGGCCGAUAUCAGAUUAGGUAGUUGGUGGGGUUAAACGGCUCGACCAAGCCAACGAUCUGUAGCUGGUCUGAGAGACGACCAGCCACACUGGAACUGAGACACGGUCCAGA